UACGAAGGGGGCUAGCGUUGCUCGGAAUCACUGGGCGUAAGGGUGCGUAGGCGGGUCUUUAAGUCAGGGGGGAAAUCCUGGAGCUCAACUCCAGAACUGCCUUUGAUACUGAAGAUCUUGAGUUCGGGAGAGGUGAGUGGAACUGCGAGUGUAGAGGUGAAAUUCGUAGAUAUUCGCAAGAACACCAGUGGCGAAGGCGGCUCACUGGCCCGAUACUGACGCUGAGGCACGAAAGCGUGGGGAGCAAACAGG
RNAcentral lists this ribosomal RNA (252 nucleotides) under uncultured bacterium. RNAcentral's name for it is "partial 16S ribosomal RNA". It matches the Rfam family "Bacterial small subunit ribosomal RNA", at positions 524 to 776 of the family's 1533-position model. The record is from RNAcentral.